Molecule: ribosomal RNA, 450 nt
Filed under: uncultured bacterium
Lineage: Bacteria
Description: bacterial SSU rRNA
Rfam family: Bacterial small subunit ribosomal RNA
Source: RNAcentral
GUUGGGAAUAUUGGACAAUGGGCGCAAGCCUGAUCCAGCCAUGCCGCGUGAGUGAUGAAGGCCUUCGGGUCGUAAAGCUCUGUGGAGAGGGAAGACCGGUUGCGGGCUAAUACCCCGUUAGCCAGACGGUACCUCUUUAGCAAGCACCGGCUAACUCCGUGCCAGCAGCCGCGGUAAUACGGAGGGUGCAAACGUUGCUCGGAAUCAUUGGGCGUAAAGCGCACGUAGGCGGUCCAGCAAGUCGGAUGUGAAAGCCCUAGGCUUAACCAAGGAAGUGCAUUCGAAACUGCCGGACUUGAGUACAGGAGAGGAUGGCGGAAUUCCCGGUGUAGAGGUGAAAUUCGUAGAUAUCGGGAGGAACACCAGUGGCGAAGGCGGCCAUCUGGACUGAUACUGACGCUGAGGUGCGAAAGCGUGGGGAGCAAACAGGAUUAGAAACCCUGGUAGUCC